Oncorhynchus tshawytscha (Chinook salmon) is the source of this 3017-nucleotide long non-coding RNA. Lineage: Eukaryota; Metazoa; Chordata; Actinopteri; Salmoniformes; Salmonidae. The record is from Ensembl.
GGGUCUACCUUGGAAAGAGACUCACCACGCCUUCCACCAGCUCUUUCUAAAUCCAAACUAAAGCAGUGCCUGGAAGUUGUCCUGUCUAAAAAAAAUAUUUGUGCUAAAAUGCCCUCUUUUCCUCUGCAUCCAUUGUUUACCUAGCUAGCUUCCUCCUCCCUUUUCCAUUCUAUAUUCUGUUUACUCAGAUUUUUUUCCUAUGUUUUUACCACUUUACCUGACACUGACUCACCCCAGUUUUUUUUAUGUUGGGUGCUUUUGGAAGGUUCACAAUUCGUCAAUGUUUGGGACCCUUUACCUUUUGACACAGAUUGGGCACAGUGCGAACUGUAGCAUCAGACAGUAAUGACCACUAUCAACCCAUAAUAGUUCACAGCCCCUGCCUGAACCUGACUGUGGUACUUUUGGAACCAAUGAUUCUCAAUUCAGUUAUUGAAAUCCUAUACUGCACAAACUAUGAGGUGGCCGGUAUUGGAUGGCAGGGGGCCUGAACCUUUGGGAAUCUCUUUGAGAUUUCCAUAUAGAUGCCUUAGCUUAGACAGAGAUUUUGCUGUGAGAGGUCAAGUGUCUUGGAGUGUUUUAUCUUCCUGCUCCUUACUCCAAGUCAGUUAAUUGCAUAGUGACUUGCACCUGAACCAAAAAAUAAGCUCCAUAUCUGAAGUACACUCUUCAAGAGUUACAGUGACUCUGAAUCAAGUGGUAUUGUUGUUCAGUUUGUUUGUUUUUUGCAAUGGUUUGGAUUUUUUUUUUUACCCAGACUUUAAUUCAGCAGAAGUUUUGUUGUAAUUCCACCCCAUUCUAGUUGUACCUAAUUUGUCAUAUUUUAGUAGCACCAAUUUUCUCUAAAGAGGGUGGUCUCUUGGUGAAAGGAUGUGAAUAUUAAUGCUAGUGGUUACUGCAAGUUUCCAUUGAUUAUCAGGAAAACAACCUAGCAAAUAGUUAAACAGAUGGGUGUGUUGAUGCAGAAAGAGUAGCAUGUCUAAAUGCUAUGCAGUACAUGGUGAAGUACUGCAGUAGUAAGGAGAAGGGCAAAUUUUGAAUGAAGAUGUCAUUUUUUUAUGUAGAUAUAAUAUAGUAGAUACAAAUAUACACAUCUGCCUGCCUGCUGUUCAGUAACUCAAAUGUGUCAAUACUACACAUUCUUCAUCUCUUUUGUCAUAUCUUGUGUUUUUUUCAAGCUGAUUCUAAAAACCUUUGAAUUGACGUUUUCCUGUGUGGCUACACACCCUCAGAGUGAGAUCCAGUGUAUAGGUCCAGCCACCAUACUGAGUUGGAUGUAUUAGUGGAAUUAUGAUAUAACUGUCCACAAAUGACUACUGCAUAUUGCCAAAUAUAGAUAUAUUUUCAUCUCAGUGCUUUCAUUGCAUUGGAAAGGUACCACUGACACUGAUCUCUCAACUAUUGGAGAAGUUGAACUAUAGGGUUAGACAAACUCAAACAGACAAACUCAAACUAUCUCCAGCUCUGAUAAGUUUUGACAUGGCCCUUGGUGAUCUGUUUUAUGUAAGCAUGGGCUCUAUUCAGCCAUUACCCAUAGGCAGACAUUAUCUACCUUAUUAAGGUAACGUAAGUAAUGCUUUUUGUAUAUGUGUUUAACACUGACCUAUUUUAAUAAUUAUGAUAAAUUACCCUUUUUUGGCAAUGGUAAAAAACAUGUUUUCUUUUCAUCACACUAGGUAAUUAUCCCAGGAACUCCCUGGAAAGUGGUUAUACAGAACCAGCACUCCUCCACUGUAUUGAGUUGCUUGGUGAUUUAGGGUUUUGUAUUGUAUCUUUAGGGGGAAGGUUGGUGGGCAAUGGGGAUAGGUGUGAUGACAUGAGUGGGGUAUUUUUUUUCCUUCUGAGUGGGAUUGUUUUUUUGUGCCUUUUCUUGGUUUGUACCAACUCAAAGUAACUCCCAUUGCAUGCAUGCCCUUAGUUUGUAAUUGGCAUUUACGUAGUAUAAUUCACGAGAUGCCAAAGGUUGUUAUAGCUUUCAUAAAAAUUGUGAAGUCCGUCCUUGUUUGUAAGGCAGAAGAAGUAUGCACAUUAUCAUUGAUGUUUUUUUCUUCUGAUAAUCCAAAAUACAAACUGAAAUAUGAUUUUCUUGUUUGUAUGGAGGGCAGGGCCCUCAGGAAUUUAUUGCUUGUAAAAAAAUAUUCCAGAAGCAAGAAGUUUCAGCCAUGUAGAUUGAUUAAUUGUAAUCAUAUUGAAAAAACUGACAUUAAAAUUAGAAAUUAACCACAAUACUCCCAAGCAGAGUUUUUGAAAGGAAAAAAUGGAGAACAUAAAUGUACUGUAAAACACAACAUGUUGUAAAACAAAAUGAUGGAAAUAAUAUUGAUUGUUGUGAAACCCCCUCCUACCAAAUACACAACCACAACUGCUUUUCAUGCUCCCAUUUUAGAAUAACUUUUCCAGGGGAGUGGGGUUAUAAGUGGGAAGAGCAUUAUACAACCUUUUGAAUAGGAAAAAGCAGGAGGGCAAAAUUAUGUGCUCUCAUAUCAAGUGAGAAUGAGUGAGCAGGAGAGGAUUGAUGCUUUCCAAAUAUUUGAGUUCCUUAUAAAGUCAUGUCAACAGAAGAGGAAGGUAGGUGAUAGAUUAGUGUUAAUGUGUCUUUUUCUUGGCUUUACAUUUUUUAAAUGUAUUUAUUUGACCUUUAUUUAACCAGGUAGGCAAGUUGAGAACAAGUUCUCAUUUACAAUUGCGACCUGGCCAAGAUAAAGCAAAGCAGUUCGACAGAUACAACGACACAGAGUUACACAUGGAGUAAAACAAACAUACAGUCAAUAAUACAGUAUAAACAAGUCUAUAUACAAUGUGAGCAAAUGAGGUGAGAAGGGAGGUAAAGGCAAAAAAAGGCCAUGGUGGCAAAGUAAAUACAAUAUAGCAAGUAAAACACUGGAAUGGUAGUUUUGCAAUGGAAGAAUGUGCAAAGUAGAAAUAAAAAUAAUGGGGUGCAAAGGAGCAAAAUAAAUAAAUAAAAAUUAAAUACAGUUGGGAAAGAGGUAGUUGUUUGGGCUAAAUUAUAGGUGGGC